Molecule: long non-coding RNA, 5467 nt
Organism: Corvus hawaiiensis (hawaiian crow)
Lineage: Eukaryota; Metazoa; Chordata; Aves; Passeriformes; Corvidae
Exons: 3
Source: RefSeq, a predicted model, not a curated record
ACCAUACUGGGAGUGCUGGCAUAUGACUGGGAUCAUGCUGGAAGUGACUGGGAUCAUUUUGGUGUUGAAAUGGAGCAACUGGGAUCACACUUUCGGCUACUGGGAGUAACUGAGAGAAAUUGGGAUCAUGCUGCAAGCAAACUGGAGUAACUGGGAAGGACUGGAUGCAUGCUGGAGGCAAUUGAGAUAUACAGGGCGUGACUGGUCUCCCCACAGUGCAGGUGGUUUCCAGCUGUGACCUCCUGUCCAAUGGAGUGUCCAUGGAUCCCACCGGCACAGCUACGAUGGGUGGGAUUUCAUCUCCUUCCAGCUGGGAUCCGGGAGCUUUGCAGUGUCUGACGGUGCCACCUGGAUCCCCCAGAGGUGCUGGGAAUCCAAAGGGAUCCUGCCAGAGCAGAUGAAGCAUUACCUGGGACACACCUGUGUGGAAGAGCUCCCAGAAUACAUUGGAUGUGGUCGGGAGGCUCUGGAGCACAAAGGUGGGUGUGGAGGGGAAUUCCUAUGGGAAUGUGGGAUUCAGGAAGGGUGGACUUGGGAAUUCAGGAAUUCCCAUGGAAUUUCCAUGGAUGGAUCUCACUCACAUCCCAGUCAGGUGGGAAUUCCAUGGACGGAUCUCCCCCCCAGCCCACUGCCAUGGGAAUUCCAUGGGGAAAUGACUGGAAUUUAUGUCCAAUCAAAUCCCUGCUGCAAUUCAGUGGGACAUAAAUCCCAAUCUUUUCCCCAGGCCGGGUCUGUGGUGCCCGUGGCAGCGCCAGGGGAGUGCCCUCUCCCUGCCCGAAGCCGAGCUCGGGCCUUUCCUUCGGUGUUCUCUGCCCUGCCCGGGGCAGGAGGGCACUGACAGAGCAGCUUUGGUGGCACCGGGCACCGGCCGGGCUCCGGCCACUGCAGGUGGCUCCGUGGGAAUGUCCGGCACCAAAGCUUCAAGCGAACAACAGCUCCUGGAGGGGAUUCUGCCCCCUCUGCCUGUCCUGGGAGCCCAAGGGCAACGCCCCGGGCACAACAGCCCAGAGUGCUGGAGCACAGUGUCCCUGGGCCAGGCCGUGUUCCCGGGCUGUCCCGUGUCCCUCGGCUGUCCCCUGUCCCUCGGCUGUCCCGUGUCCCUCGGCUCCCUGGGGCCGGGGGUGACAGCAGGACCCAGGGCAGCCCUGGGGGUGGAACAACCCUGAGCCCCAGCUGGGCCAGUGUCGCUGUUAUUCGCAGAAAGACAGUGAAAAUCACGACGUAAGUCCAGGUCAGACUUGUGUGGCCGAAGUGGCCUCAUUUAAUCACCCGUACCUUUUAUAGCAUGGUUCGCAAAGAGAAAUUACAUGAUUGGCCCAUUGACCCGCCACCUCUCAAGGUGAUAGGUUGAGCAGUAAUGCACCCAUUUCCAAAUAUUAUUCUUAAAGAAGGAAAAUAAUUUUCACAGUUCUCAAAACAACCUGCAGGUGUAGAAAUGGUUUACAUUCUCUCAAACUGUUGUCCAUCCAGUUCACAUGAGAACGAAAGCUUUCACAGAGAAGCUGUGAGAAGCUGGAUUUCUCUAACCGCUUUCUUAUGAGAAAGAAAAGUUCACAGGAAAAUUCCUCUGUCAGCCCUUGCUAGCAUCCACAAAACAGUUCCCCCAGUUCCCCCCAGGGGGGCCCAGGUCACUCCCAGCAUGGGCCCUGUGGCUCCCAGUCACCCCAGUAUGGUCCCAGCUCACUCCCCAGUAUGAUCCCAGUCAUUUUCAGUUAUACUCAGUAUGAUCCCAGUAUGACCCUGGUCACUCCCACUAUGAUCCCUGCAUGGUCCCAGGUGUUCCCAUUCACCCUUAGUAUAGUUCCCAGCACUCCCAGUACAGUCCCAGUUUCUCCCAGAAUGAUCCCAGUCAUUCCCACUGUGGCUCCAGUCCUCCCCAGUAUGAUUCCAGUAUGAACCCAGUCACCCUCAGUACGAUGCUAUUUACUCCCAGCAUAGUCCCAGUAAUUCCCAGUAUGAUCCCAGUCACUCCCAGAUACUCCCAGUAUUAUUCCAGUAACUUCCUUUAUGGUUCCUCUAUGAUCCCAGUCACUCCCCGUCUCUCCCAGUGUCUCCCAGUAGCUUCCAGCAUGAUUCCAGUCACUCCCUGUAUAUCCCAGUUGCCCUCAGGAUGCUCCUAGUCACUUCCAGUAUGAUCCCAGUAUGACCCCAAUCACCCUCAGUGUAGACUCAAUUGCUCCCAAUAUGAUCCCAGUUGUCCCCAGCACGGUCCCAUUUCCUCCCAGUGUGAUCCCUGUAUCUCCCAGUUGCCUCUAGCAUAGACCCAGUCACUCCCAGCAUGAUCCUACUCUGAUGCCAUGAUGAUCCCAGUUGUCACCCGCAUGCUCCUAGUUGCUCCCAGUUCCUCCCAGUCUGAUCCCAAUUGCUCUCAGUUGCCCCUAGCACAGAGCCAGUCAUUCCACAUAUUCCCCAGUAUGUGUCCAGUAGGAUCCCAGUCUCCCCCAGCAUGGUCCCAGUCAAUCCCAGUUGCUCCCAGUGUAGACCCAGUCACCCCCAGUGUGGUUACAGACACUCCCAGUAUAGCCCAGUUGCCCUCAGCUUGCUCAUAGUCAUUCCCGGUCACAGCCACUUGCCCCAGUAAGGUUCCAGUUCCCUCCAGCAUGAUCCCAGUCACUUCCAGUCUCUCCCAAUAUAUCCCGGUUGCCUCCAGCAUGCACCCCAUCACUCCCAUGUACCGCCAGUUGCUUCCAGCAUGCUCCCAAUUGCUCCCAGUAGCCCUCAGUGUGGUCCCACUUACUCCCAGUAUGACCCCUGUUGCCCCAGUUCUGGUCACACUUUGUCCUGGUCCUGCUGUAUCCCAGUGUCCCAGCCUCUCCCAGUCCAUCCCAGCCUGUCCCACUUCAUCCCAGUCCCUUCCUGGCAGCCGCACACGUUUCCUGGAUCCUGCCAACCUGCCCCCGGAGCUGCCACCGGACGCCCCCCAAGAUGCUGAUGGGGGUCGGGGGCUUCGUGUUGGGCUUCAUACUCCUGGGCUGGGACUCGGCCUCCACCUGUGGGAGGAGGUGACAGGGGUCCCCAGGAGUCAUGUCCCCCCUUGAGCAUGUGAGCCCCUCCCGGGAUUCCCCCCAUCCUGGGGUCACCCCCUUUUCUCUCCCCUAGAGCUCCUGACCCAGCUCCUGCUCCCCCCUGGGAGGGGGUUUUGGGGAGCCUCCCUUUUCCUUGGGGCCCCCCUUGAAUCCCUAUUUCUGGGCAUUGGGACCCCUCUGCACCCCCUUUCCCAGGUAUCCUCCUCUCCCAGCCCCUGGAUCCCCUGUUUCCUUGACCCCGGGGACCCCCGGACCCCCAUUCCCAGCCAUCCCGUGGCACCUCAGCCCCAGGCCUCCCUUUCCUGGGAAACCCGAACUGGGCACGGGGCUCUGCAGCCGCUCUGGGAUUUAUUGUCACCCAAAGGAAAGCGACAGGAGAGGAGAGAGGAAGAGAAGGAGAUUGGGAGUCAGGGAUCGGGGUCACAGCGCCCAGUCCUGCCCCGCCGGGGCUGGGGCCCCGCAGCCACAGGACAAAAUGGAUCCGCGGCUCCCGGUGCUUGCCCCGCUUCGGGCCGAACCCAGCGGGUUCCAGGCAGAGUUUGGCCACAGGGCCCAGGAGUUCAGCCCAGCCCGGCCCAGGGGUCCCACAGUGCACAGCCAAGGAGGGUCCCAAAGGGGUCACAGGAAGAUCCAGGCAGGUCCCAGGAGGGUAUCCAGGUGAAUUCCCUGGAAUUCCUGAGCACCAGACCCCCCUGAACUUCCAUUUCCCAUCACUAGAACACCAUGCACCCUCAUUCUCAUGAAGCCCCUUGAGCCCCCCAUUCCUGGGUACUGGGACCCCUCUGCACCUCCCUCCCCAGCACUAGGACCCAACUGUACUCCUGUAUCUGGCACUGCAACCCCCCUGAACCUCUAUUUUGAGGCACCCAGACCCCCUUUAACCCAGAUUCCCAGGAACUUCCCUGAACCCCUAUUCCCUGCCAUGGGAAACCCCCUGAUCCACCAUUCCUGGGCCUCGGAACCCUCUUGAAACUCCAAUUCCUGGCCAGCAGUGAGACCACCUGACCCCCCAUUACCGGCAGUGGGACCCCUGUGCAGCCCAUGGGUCUGAACCCCCCAUUCUCAGGCAUGAGGAACCCCCUGCACCUCCAUUCCCAGCUCCAGGACGCUCCUGAACCCCCUUAUCCUGCACCAAUAACCCCCUGUACCCCCUUUCCUGGCCAUCUCGCCUCUCUCAGCCCAAAGACCCCCCCUUUUCCUUGACCCAGGGACCCCCUAGAGUCCCAUUCCUGCAUUUCCAGCACCCAGACCCCGCUUUGCUCAACACCGAGGGCCCCUGGACAUCCCUUUGCUGGGCACAAGGACACCCUGGAUCUCCCAUCCCGCCUCUCAGAGCCUUUGCAACAUCCCCAUUCCGUGACCCUUCCCGGCUCUCCCAGUUCCGCUUCCUUGACCCUUGGACACCGCCAGACUCCGCCAAUCUCAGUCAUCCCAGUUCUCCACUCCCUGCGCUUCCUGCAGGGGGGUACCAGGGGGUUCGUAAGGUUCCCUGCGGGGGUCCCAGGAGAGAUCCAGGGGAAUUCCCAGGAAAUGUCCCCUGUCCCUGCCUCCCGCGGUCCCUCGGUCACUUUCCCGUUUCCCAGCCUGCACCACCGGGAUCUGCCCGGAGACCGGUGAUUGCCCCCGGCACCGGGACCCUGCUGAAUCGCAGUUCCUGGGCACCGGCACCUGUCUGAGCCCCCAUUCCUCAGUACCGGGACCCCCCUGCACCCCCUUAUCCAGCACCGGGACACCCCUGCAAACCCUUUUCCCGGCCAUCCCGUCUCUCCCGGCCCACAGACGUCCUUUUCCUUGACUUUGAGCCUCCCGGGACCCCCCAUUCCUGGCUUUUCCAGCUCCCAGCCUCCUACUUCCUCAACACUGGAGACCCGUGUACCCCCCUUUCCUGGUCAGAGGAACCGCCUGGACCCCCAUCCCGCCGCUCCACGUGCCUUCACUCCCUUUUCCUUGACUCUGUGACUCCCCUGAACCCUCAUUCCUGGGAAUGCGGACCCCCUGCAUCCCGUUAUCCGGGACUGGGACCCCCGCCUGCACCCCCUUCACGUGCUCUGGGACUCACAUGCAACCCCUUAUUCGGCACCGGGACGCCACUGCACCCGCAUUCCUGUGCACAGAGAGCCCCCUACACCCCCUUAUCGUGCACCAACACACCCUUGCAUCCCCUUCUCAGGCAUCCCGCUUUUCCCAGCUCCCAGACCCAGUUUUCCUUGACCGUUGGAUCCCUCAGACCUCCGAAAUUUCCGUGUGCCCCCAGUUCUCCACUUCCGGCGCUUCCUGAAGGGGGAUCCCAGGGGCUCCCGGAGAGCCCCAGGGGUCCCAGAGGGGUUUAGAGGGGUCGCAGCGGGGAUCCAGCGGGAUCCAGACGAAUUCCCAGGAACUACGCUUGUCCCCAGCCCCCGCGCCCCCUUGGUCGUUCGCUUCUCCGUCUCCCGACCUGCGCU